GGGGUUGUGGCUCAGAGGUAGAGUGCUCACCUAGUAUGUGUGAGGCUCUGGGUUCGAUCCUCAGCACCA
RNAcentral lists this transfer RNA (69 nucleotides) under Ictidomys tridecemlineatus (thirteen-lined ground squirrel). RNAcentral describes it as "Spermophilus tridecemlineatus (thirteen-lined ground squirrel) tRNA". It matches the Rfam family "tRNA". From Rfam's summary of the family: Transfer RNA (tRNA) molecules are approximately 80 nucleotides in length. Their secondary structure includes four short double-helical elements and three loops (D, anti-codon, and T loops). The record is from Rfam by way of RNAcentral. Lineage: Eukaryota; Metazoa; Chordata; Mammalia; Rodentia; Sciuridae.